Molecule: ribosomal RNA, 695 nt
Filed under: uncultured bacterium
Lineage: Bacteria
Description: bacterial SSU rRNA
Rfam family: Bacterial small subunit ribosomal RNA
Source: RNAcentral
AACGCUAGCUACAGGCUUAACACAUGCAAGUCGAGGGGAAACGACAUCGAAAGCUUGCUUUUGAUGGGCGUCGACCGGCGCACGGGUGAGUAACACGUAUCCAACCUGCCGAUAACUCGGGGAUAGCCUUUCGAAAGAAAGAUUAAUAUCCGAUAGCAUAUUGAGAUCGCAUGAUUUUGAUAUUAAAGAAUUUCGGUUAUCGAUGGGGAUGCGUUCCAUUAGUUUGUUGGCGGGGUAACGGCCCACCAAGACUACGAUGGAUAGGGGUUCUGAGAGGAAGGUCCCCCACAUUGGAACUGAGACACGGUCCAAACUCCUACGGGAGGCAGCAGUGAGGAAUAUUGGUCAAUGGACGAGAGUCUGAACCAGCCAAGUAGCGUGAAGGAUGACUGCCCUAUGGGUUGUAAACUUCUUUUAUAUGGGAAUAAAGUAUUCCACGUGUGGGAUUUUGUAUGUACCAUAUGAAUAAGGAUCGGCUAACUCCGUGCCAGCAGCCGCGGUAAUACGGAGGAUCCGAGCGUUAUCCGGAUUUAUUGGGUUUAAAGGGAGCGUAGGUGGAUUGUUAAGUCAGUUGUGAAAGUUUGCGGCUCAACCGUAAAAUUGCAGUUGAAACUGGCAGUCUUGAGUACAGUAGAGGUGGGCGGAAUUCGUGGUGUAGCGGUGAAAUGCUUAGAUAUCACGAAGAACUCCGAUUG